This 454-nucleotide long non-coding RNA is filed under the name Sus scrofa (pig). RNAcentral describes it as "lncRNA (ENSSSCG00060022727.1)". The record is from RNAcentral. Lineage: Eukaryota; Metazoa; Chordata; Mammalia; Artiodactyla; Suidae.
UGCGGCGCGGCGGUUUCCCCGGCGCGGAGCACGUCGGAGCGAACGCACGAGGCCCUGACGCCUCAUGAGCUCGCUGACCAGCCGAGGCUCCCACCAACCGGGUCCCUACGGCGCGGGAGGGGAAGGACCGUCCCCUCCCGGCUCUGAGCAUGGGUCGUUCCCGAGCGCCGCCCGCACGACGGCGGGGUGCCUCGAGGAGCUGCGGAGGCUGAGGACCCGGGAAGGAGUGUCCUGCGGGGGCCCGCAGCCCCAGGGAAUCACCAGGGUCUUGGGACUCGUCGGAUCCCGGAGACUCGAGAUGCGGACUCCAAAGUGUGGCGCGCAAGCCAAGCUGGGCUUUAGCUGCCCUUUGGUUGAGGGCCACUUCACAAUAACAGCUGCAACUCUUUGGACACCCACUCCACAAACUUCAGGUCUUUCUCAAGGGAAGAAGGUGGGCAUUGUCUUUAGAUAA